This 468-nucleotide ribosomal RNA is filed under the name uncultured bacterium. RNAcentral describes it as "partial 16S ribosomal RNA". It matches the Rfam family "Bacterial small subunit ribosomal RNA", at positions 28 to 507 of the family's 1533-position model. The record is from RNAcentral.
GACGAACGCUGGCGGCGUGCUUAACACAUGCAAGUCGAACGGAAAGGCCCUGCUUUUGUGGGGUGCUCGAGUGGCGAACGGGUGAGUAACACGUGAGUAACCUGCCCUUGACUUUGGGAUAACUUCAGGAAACUGGGGCUAAUACCGGAUAGGAGCUCCUGCUGCAUGGUGGGGGUUGGAAAGUUUCGGCGGUUGGGGAUGGACUCGCGGCUUAUCAGCUUGUUGGUGGGGUAGUGGCUUACCAAGGCUUUGACGGGUAGCCGGCCUGAGAGGGUGACCGGCCACUGUGGGACUGAGAUCCGGCCCAGUCUCCGGGGGGGGGAAGAGGGGGGGAAUAUUGAAAAGGGGGCGGAGGCGUUAGGCAGCAACGCCGGGGGGGGGAUGCGGGCUUUGGGUUGAUAACCCGCUUUCGCCGGUGACGAAGCGGGAGUGACGGUAGUGGGUAAAGAAGCACCGGCAAACUACGUG